AUUGAACGCUGGCGGCAUGCCUUACACAUGCAAGUCGAACGGCAGCACGGGUGCUUGCACCUGGUGGCGAGUGGCGAAAGGGUGAGUAAUACAUCGGAACAUGUCCUGUAGUGGGGGAUAGCCCGGCGAAAGCCGGAUUAAUACCGCAUACGAUCUACGGAUGAAAGCGGGGGACCUUCGGGCCUCGCGCUAUAGGGUUGGCCGAUGGCUGAUUAGCUAGUUGUUGGGGUAAAGGCCUACCAAGGCGACGAUCAGUAGCUGGUCUGAGAGGACGACCAGCCACACUGGGACUGAGACACGGCCCAGACUCCUACGGGAGGCAGCAGUGGGGAAUUUUGGACAAUGGGCGAAAGCCUGAUCCAGCAAUGCCGCGUGUGUGAAGAAGGCCUUCGGGUUGUAAAGCACUUUUGUCCGGAAAGAAAUCCUUGGCCCUAAUACGGUCGGGGGAUGACGGUACCGGAAGAAUAAGCACCGGCUAACUACGUG
This 486-nucleotide ribosomal RNA is filed under the name uncultured bacterium. RNAcentral's name for it is "partial 16S ribosomal RNA". It matches the Rfam family "Bacterial small subunit ribosomal RNA", at positions 30 to 507 of the family's 1533-position model. The record is from RNAcentral.